Molecule: ribosomal RNA, 429 nt
Filed under: Acidobacteriota bacterium
Lineage: Bacteria; Pseudomonadati; Acidobacteriota
Description: Acidobacteria bacterium partial 16S ribosomal RNA
Rfam family: Bacterial small subunit ribosomal RNA
Source: RNAcentral
UGGGGAAUUUUGGACAAUGGGGGAAACCCUGAUCCAGCCAUCCCGCGUGUGCGAUGAAGGCCUUCGGGUUGUAAAGCACUUUUGGCAGGAAAGAAACGUCAUGGGUUAAUACCCCGUGAAACUGACGGUACCUGCAGAAUAAGCACCGGCUAACUACGUGCCAGCAGCCGCGGUAAUACGUAGGGUGCAAGCGUUAUUCGGAAUUACUGGGCGUAAAGCGUGCGCAGGCGGUUCGGAAAGAAAGAUGUGAAAUCCCAGAGCUCAACUUUGGAACUGCAUUUUUAACUACCGUGCUAGAGUGUGUCAGAGGGAGGUGGAAAUCCGCGUGUAGCAGUGAAAUGCGUAGAGAUGCGGAGGAACACCGAUGGCGAAGGCGGCCUCCUGGGAUAACACUGACGCUCAUGCACGAAAGCGUGGGGAGCAAACAGG